RNAcentral lists this ribosomal RNA (403 nucleotides) under Fusobacteriota bacterium. RNAcentral's name for it is "Fusobacteria bacterium partial 16S ribosomal RNA". It matches the Rfam family "Bacterial small subunit ribosomal RNA", at positions 355 to 776 of the family's 1533-position model. Lineage: Bacteria; Fusobacteriati; Fusobacteriota. The record is from RNAcentral.
UGGGGAAUAUUGCACAAUGGAGGGAACUCUGAUGCAGCGACGCCGCGUGAACGAAGAAGGCUUUCGAGUCGUAAAGUUCUUUUAUAUGGGAAGAUAAUGACGGUACCAUAAGAAAAAGCCCCGGCUAACUACGUGCCAGCAGCCGCGGUAAUACGUAGGGGGCUAGCGUUGUCCGGAAUCACUGGGCGUAAAGGGUUUGCAGGUGGAAAUGCAAGUCAGGUGUAAAAGGCAGUAGCUUAACUACUGUAAGCAUUUGAAACUGCAUAUCUUGAGAAGAGUAGAGGUAAGUGGAAUUUUUAGUGUAGCGGUGAAAUGCGUAGAUAUUAAAAAGAAUACCGGUGGCGAAGGCGACUUACUGGGCUCAUUCUGACGCUGAGGAACGAAAGCGUGGGUAGCAAACAGG